UCCCAGGUGGCUCAGUGGUAAAGAAUCUGCUUGAAAGGCAGGAGACCCAGGUUUGAUCCCUGGGUUGGAAA
This 71-nucleotide transfer RNA is filed under the name Bos taurus (domestic cattle). It matches the Rfam family "tRNA". Rfam says of the family: Transfer RNA (tRNA) molecules are approximately 80 nucleotides in length. Their secondary structure includes four short double-helical elements and three loops (D, anti-codon, and T loops). The record is from Rfam by way of RNAcentral. Lineage: Eukaryota; Metazoa; Chordata; Mammalia; Artiodactyla; Bovidae. RNAcentral also lists the same sequence under 2 other names.